GGGCGAACGCUGGCGGCGUGCUUACCACAUGCAAGUCGAACGGAAAGGCCUGCUUUCCCUUGUGGAUUGCGGGUACUCGAGUGGCGAACGGGUGAGUAACACGUGAGUGAUCUGCCCCCAACUUGGGUAUAAGCCUGGGAAACUGGGUCUAAUUCCCGAUAGGACUGCAGGGUGGUGCCUGUGGUGGAAAACGAUUUUCUAGUGGUUGGGGAUGAGCUCGCGGCCUAUCAGCUUGUUGGUGGGGUAAUGGCCUACCAAGGCGGCGACGGGUAGCCGGCCUGAGAGGGUGGACGGCCACAGUGGGACUGAGAUACGGCCCAGACUCCUACGGGAGGCAGCAGUGGGGAAUAGUGCACAAUGCGCGGAAGCCUGAUGCAGCGACGCCGCGUGGGGGAUGACGGCCUUCGGGUUGUAAACUCCUUUCGACCGCGAGGAAGCCACCUGGUUGGAAGGGUGGUGACGGUAGUGGUAGAAGAAGCACCGGCUAACUACGUG
RNAcentral lists this ribosomal RNA (495 nucleotides) under uncultured bacterium. RNAcentral's name for it is "partial 16S ribosomal RNA". It matches the Rfam family "Bacterial small subunit ribosomal RNA", at positions 27 to 507 of the family's 1533-position model. The record is from RNAcentral.